This 616-nucleotide ribosomal RNA is filed under the name uncultured bacterium. RNAcentral's name for it is "bacterial SSU rRNA". It matches the Rfam family "Bacterial small subunit ribosomal RNA", at positions 60 to 644 of the family's 1533-position model. The record is from RNAcentral.
AGUCGAGCGAGCGGAACUACAGAUUUACUUCGGUAAUGACGUUAGGAAAGCGAGCGGCGGAUGGGUGAGUAACACGUGGGGAACCUGCCCCAUAGUCUGGGAUACCACUUGGAAACAGGUGCUAAUACCGGAUAAGAAAGCAGAUCGCAUGAUCAGCUUUUAAAAGGCGGCGUAAGCUGUCGCUAUGGGAUGGCCCCGCGGUGCAUUAGCUAGUUGGUAAGGUAAAGGCUUACCAAGGCGAUGAUGCAUAGCCGAGUUGAGAGACUGAUCGGCCACAUUGGGACUGAGACACGGCCCAAACUCCUACGGGAGGCAGCAGUAGGGAAUCUUCCACAAUGGACGCAAGUCUGAUGGAGCAACGCCGCGUGAGUGAAGAAGGUUUUCGGAUCGUAAAGCUCUGUUGUUGGUGAAGAAGGAUAGAGGUAGUAACUGGCCUUUAUUUGACGGUAAUCAACCAGAAAGUCACGGCUAACUACGUGCCAGCAGCCGCGGUAAUACGUAGGUGGCAAGCGUUGUCCGAAUUUAUUGGGCGUAAAGCGAGCGCAGGCGGAAGAAUAAGUCUGAUGUGAAAGCCCUCGGCUUAACCGAGGAACUGCAUCGGAAACUGUUUUUCUUG